RNAcentral lists this ribosomal RNA (377 nucleotides) under uncultured bacterium. RNAcentral describes it as "bacterial SSU rRNA". It matches the Rfam family "Bacterial small subunit ribosomal RNA", at positions 521 to 896 of the family's 1533-position model. The record is from RNAcentral.
UAAUACAGAGGCCUCGAGCGUUAGGCGGAAUCACUGGGCUUAAAGCGUGUGUAGGCGGACUUCUAAGUACCUUGUGAAAUCCCACAGCUUAACUGUGGAACUGCUUGGUAUACUGGUUGUCUUGAGGUACCUAGGGGCGAGCGGAACAAGUGGUGGAGCGGUGAAAUGCGUAGAUAUCACUUGGAACGCCAACGGUGAAAACAGCUCGCUGGGGGUAUCCUGACGCUGAGACACGAAAGCCAGGGGAGCAAACGGGAUUAGAUACCCCGGUAGUCCUGGCCCUAAACGAUGUCCACUAGAUCGUAGCGGCUCUGACGCCGUUAUGGUCGAAGCAAAAGUGCUAAGUGGACCGCCUGGGAAGUACGGUCGCAAGGCUA